Meriones unguiculatus (Mongolian gerbil) is the source of this 4009-nucleotide long non-coding RNA. RefSeq lists it as uncharacterized. NCBI's taxonomy places the organism in Eukaryota, Metazoa, Chordata, Mammalia, Rodentia, Muridae. The record is from RefSeq and is a predicted model, not a curated record. The transcript is spliced from 3 exons.
CAGCGACGGCUAAGCUCUAGCUUUCCCUGUUUGGGGGGAGGGAAAGAGAGGCUUAGGACUAUGAUUAAACAGAGCGAUCAGCUCCUUCCUUAUUCUGGAGAAGCAAAAGUUGUGCUCUUUUUCCUUCUGUCGUUUCCAGAGAUUGUCUUCCAGGGCCCCACGAGAAGAAGCCGCCUGGCGUGUCCUUCCUGCACACAGAGGGGCCCAGGGAGCCCUUGCCUAAGCCUGCCUCGGGCUUGUCACCCCGGUUUCCUGAGAUCCAGACCGCUCCUCCUCCCAGCCGUGCCUUGCUCUCCAGAGACCAUACAUCAUAGCGGCAACCCACCUUCGGAAUGGGCUUUUGUCAUUUUUCCGUGCUGGGAUGGGAGCCAACCGUUGCCGCAAACCCUCUGAGCCUGAAGGAGCCGAACCAGCUGGUGAUGUUCCUGGAGCGUUUGAAAGUGAUAUCCUAUUUCACAGAAACCGAAGACAAUGGUUUGAUGUUUUAAAAUGGUCCCAGCAUCUGCGGUAAGCAAGCGAGGCAGGCAGCCUGGUUGAGGAAGAAAGGAAAGCCUGGAAAGCCUUAACUUAGGCUCCCAGCCACAGCUGCAAGAAAGCAGCCCCCAGCUUCUCACCCACAUCUCAUUUGGACAUUUGAUCAAUGAAUCCGUAUUUUGUGCUCCUGAAACUGGGUCUUGCUUUGCGGUCCUGGUGAGCCUUAAACUCAGCAGCCUCCUACCUGAGCUCCCCCCUUCCCCAUGUGCUGGGGUGACAGGCAGGGACACGAUGGACAUGUGUCCAUCUCCUCAUGUCCAUCUCGUCGUUCGUAUGUUCAAAUGGGUAAGAAUGCAUGAGGAGAACCUUUCUAUUUGUUCUACGAAUUGAGCCGUAAAGUCGAGCAUAGUGAACAAGACUGUCACCUCAGCAUUCAGGAGGCUGAUGCAAGAGAGCCUGUGGUUUUAUAACAGGCUGGACUACACAGGGGGAAAAGAAGAAGAAGAAGAAGAAGAAGAAGAAGAAGAAGAAGAAGAAGAAGAAGAAGAAGAAGAAGAAGAAGAAGAAGAAGAAGAAGAAGAAGAAAAACCCAAACCACCAACUGGAUCCUUUCCCCACGCUGAUAUGUCUUCUCGGAAAACACUGAUGUAGUCUGCACUUCCUAUCUUUCCUUGACUCACAAAAAGUCUCCUAAGACAGACAAAACAGUGUGAUUCCACUUCCAUUGUGCAUUAGUGUCGAGUUACAACAGAAACACCGGCUUGGGUAGAGCCCCGACCUAGGCCGUUUAUCACCUCUGCUCGUCUCUCCUCCCGGCAAGCCCAGCAGACUCUCUACGCGUACAGCACAAUUCACAGAAAGCCACAUGUGCGGAAGUCGCGGGGAGCUGUGCUUCUACACGUGAAUGUCAAGCUGAGAAAGCAAGUUAGAUUCUAAAUGCCAAUUAGGAAAAUUAAGAUUAAAAAAACAACAAGCCAAGCGUGGUGGUUUAUGUUAUAGUCUCAGCUAUUCAUUCAAAUUGUUCCCAAGUUCAAGACCAGCCUUGGCCAAAAGUAAAUGACUAGUGAGCGGUGGGUGGACCUUUGGUAGCGGGGCCUCAGAGCUCUGGGUUUGCUCUGGGUCUCCUGGCUUUUCUCACUUUGCCAAAGCUGUUCACACGCUUUCAGAUAACCCAGUCACGGAAUGUCAUUUAAGUGUGUGCUCCAAGGAGUGCUUACAGAAGGGGAUGGUACUAUUUAACCAACACUUGCAGACGUGGGCUGUGUUAACUAGGCGAUUCCGUAUGAUCUCAGUGUGAGGUGUACCCAGGACACUAAUUCAUAGUUGGAAGAGUUCAACCAUGUUCAGAGAGCCCUUGAUGAGUUCUGGCAUUAUCAGACACCAAGUUUGGAAACUUUAUCCUGGGAAGCAUUUUAAAAUAAUGUUUUUUUAAAUUUUAUUCUAUAAAUUCUGUACGUUUGUAUACUUCGAUUAUAUUCAUUCAUUAUGACUCCUUCACACUUUCCCUGGUGCCCCUCCCCCAUCUCUCUUGUGGCUUCAUGGCCUCUCUUUUCCUUUUGUUAUUAAUAACCAUCUAAGGGCUGGAGGGACGGCUCAGCAGUUAAGAGCACUGCGCUUUUCCAGUCCUGAGUUCAAUUCCCAGCAACCACAUGGUGGCUCACAACCAUCUACCCUGGGAUCUGAUACCCUCCUCUGUCAUGCAGGUGGAGCACUGAAUGAUAGGUGCAGCAUACAGAUAGAGCACUCAUAUCCAGAAAAAAUAUGUCUUUAAAAAAUUACCACCCAAGUCCAGUUAUUGUUGCCUGUAUGUGUAUGGCUGGGGACAUUUUCUGGGUCGUGAGCAACCUACCAACUCCUAGGCUCUGAGAGGAGAGUGACUCUUUUUCCCCCAGUAUCCAUUCACCUGCCCAAACUACCUUUGCCAAAGGUGGGACCCCUUCCCCACUCAUGUUAGAAUUUUCAUUGGCUUCAAAAGUAGUAUUUAUUUAUUUUUGUGGAGCUAGAGACUGAGGGCCAUACAUCUAAGCAAGUGCUCCACCACAGAUCUAACCCUAGCCAGCAGAUUACCAUUUUUUUGGAAAACAUUAAAUAGAGAUUAUAAAUGUCACUUAGGUUUAUGUUACAUGUGUAUUCAUAGGAACUCGCAUGCAGCAGGUUAAAAUCCUGAUUAGUAGGUAUGAUUUAAAGCCAAUGGCUUUGAAGAGGCAAUUCUAUCAAUUUCGGCUGAGCCUAGGACCCAACAAAUGUGCCUCAAAGUAGUGUGGGCGCUCUAUGAAUGGAGAUGUCUAGGUGCUUCCAUAAUAAUAGGGUAGACUGUCUUUCGUCUCUUCAUACCUGGCCUUGCUCUCAGUAUGAAAAAUUACUCUUUUAAAAAUAUAAUUCCUUGUCAGCCACUAACUUUGUUUACCUAGUAUACUGAUGUCUGGGUAAAAACCCUCUUUGGGCCUCAGUCCCACCAUUGAUUUUAAUUCUCCUUUUGAGAUAUUGUUUCUGCAUCCCACAUCUUCUGUAGUACAGGAACUCCCCUAGCAAUUGGCUGAUGUUCUCUGUGGACACAGCCUGAUAUGUAGUUUCUAAUAGGGAAAGGUGAGCAUGACCUUGGGGUGAUGACUUCAUUUAGGUUCUUAGUUGUAGCUUUUCUUGUUUACUUCUGAAUUCAAAUACUAUAUGUGUUAAAUAGAUAAACAACAUAUAUGUUUACUUAUGCUUUCUUUUUGAUUACAAAUACACUAAAAGUCAUUAGGAAAAGCUGAUACACACAGGACAUCAGAGCACAGCAUUCUUAGAACUGAGUGGGUGUUAGCUUUGGCUCCUCUGUGUUGUUUUCAGCUCUGAGAAUCUUCCUGUAUAGCUGGGGUAACAGGGCCACCUUGCCCUUGGACUGUUAGACCCUGAGUUCUCAGGUUGAUCCGGCGUUAGACCCUGAGUUCUCAGGUUGAUCUGGCUCCUGACUCUGGUUUGCAGUCUGUAUUUCACCAGAAUGCUGUCUGUCUCUUCGAUGUUUUGGUGCCAGCCAAAGAAAUGACUUUUUCUGUUCUAGUCAUCACCCAUUCCUCAUGUUCUGACCCCCUGUGCCCUCUCUUCUCAUUUGCUUCUAACCUUUCACUUGACAAAUGACUUCUUUCUUACUCUCCAAGUCUCCUUUAAGAGCCCUUUUUCUCAUGAGCAGUAGUGCUGAUAGAAUCUUUCCCCUUUCUAACUUAGUUUUUGGUUUUCAUAUCAUAUGUCUCAUUUCUCAGAUGUUCCGGGGUUCAUUACAACAAUCAACAAACAAAAUAAUUACUCUUGUAAAAAAGUAACAAAAUGCCUUACUGAGACUAGAGACUAGAAUCUCAAAGCACUAAGCUUAGAUUCUGUGCUCUUCCUUCAAAUAAAAAUGCCUCUCACUGCUCCCCUAACGAAAAACCAAGAUCUGAGCAGGACAUUUUGUGUAAUCUUGUAUAAUACAUUGUACUCACUCAUGGCCAUUCAUCUGAUUCAUUCUGAGUUUGUUCUGGGAGCACAUCAGAUUGGAGUCUUUAAACAUUUUCCGUCC